This 326-nucleotide long non-coding RNA is filed under the name Medicago truncatula (barrel medic). RNAcentral's name for it is "long non-coding RNA (MTRU_LNC000867)". The record is from RNAcentral. Lineage: Eukaryota; Viridiplantae; Streptophyta; Magnoliopsida; Fabales; Fabaceae.
ACGACAAUUGUGCCAUUAGAGAAUACAUCAGGAUACCAUCACGUUCAAACUGUUUCAUCUGUUUUGUAGACAGAAGCUCAACCUCACCUUCUUCUUCAGCAGAAGAGAAAUGCACCGUCUUAUUAUAGCAGUUGAUAUGAACUCGAUUAUACUCUAACCAAUUCAUACCAAAAAUCACAUCCAUACCCGUCAACGGCAGACACACUAAAUCAAUCACAAAAUCUCUACCAAACAUAGAUAUGGGACACCGCAGACAAACAAGAGAAGUGGUUACUGAACCCUUAGCUGGAGUUUCAACAACCAUUUCCCCUUUCAUAUCAGAUANN